GCUACAUUUGAUGUAGUGUUUUCUUCUGUAGUCUCUGCUUCCCCCAAUGAGACUGAGAUGGAGGCAGACGGUAAAGUGACCCUCCACUGCAUCCUGUACACACAAGACAACUGUGGAGGAUCAGAGGCAGAUGAAGGAGUUAGUCUGAGCUGGGUGGAUGAGGGAGGGAAAGAGCUACAGAACGAUAACAAUCGCCAGAUCAGAACCACACCUCCCUGUUCCAUCACACUGACUGAGGAGCUCAGAGGUCCAAACCCUGUUCAUACUCGGACAUGCCAGCUGACUGCAGGAGGGCAGGUUCAGACUUCUGUCUCCCACACCAUCAGAGUGAAAGAAUGAAACUGUCACCACUGCUUCCUCAAACUCAGGCCCAUCAGCAACAAAGUCCUCUCCUCCACCGACAGACUCAGGAACACCAGUUCCCCAAGGUGUCCUUCUGGUUGCUGGAGUUGUUGUCUCUGUCAGUCUGUUGGCUGCUGCAUUGAUGACAAUUGUGGUGAUAUGCAAGAGAAGGACAAAUGCUGGAGGAGAGCCAAGACACAAAUCAACUCAAAACAGGACCAGUGCCGUAGUCAUGCAGUCUGUUCAGCCAUCAAACUCCUCAGCUAAUGAGGAGGAAGGAGCUGAUCUGCACUAUGCAACCUUUCAGCACCUCAACCAAACACAAGCUGGGCCUUCUGCA
Long non-coding RNA from Clupea harengus (Atlantic herring), 682 nucleotides. RefSeq lists it as uncharacterized. NCBI's taxonomy places the organism in Eukaryota, Metazoa, Chordata, Actinopteri, Clupeiformes, Clupeidae. The record is from RefSeq and is a predicted model, not a curated record. The transcript is spliced from 7 exons.